RNAcentral lists this long non-coding RNA (357 nucleotides) under Ananas comosus (pineapple). RNAcentral describes it as "long non-coding RNA (ACOM_LNC025606)". Lineage: Eukaryota; Viridiplantae; Streptophyta; Magnoliopsida; Poales; Bromeliaceae. The record is from RNAcentral.
UGGCCCAUUUAAGUCAACAAUCCCCCCUCCAGCACUUGCACACAUUUGCAGCAUGCAGGAAUCGAACUCGUGACCUCUGGCUCUGAUACCACUUGUCGGAUCGUUGGCGCUAACCAUUAAUCCCAAAAGCUCGAGCUGUUAAAAAUACGCAACCAAUUCACUUAAAGCGUACAAAAACAGCGCCCACGGGUCUCGAUUAUGACUCGGCCCACCUGGCCUCACGCCACUUCGAACAUGACUCGGCCCAACCCAGCCUCACGCCAUUUCGAACAUAACUCAGCCCACAUGGCCUCCCGCCACAGGGCAAGAUGCUAGCCCAUUUAAGCCAACACUUCUCGUAUUUUUCAGUUUUCUCAU